RNAcentral lists this transfer RNA (71 nucleotides) under Hynobius chinensis (Chinese salamander). RNAcentral describes it as "tRNA-Ser". It matches the Rfam family "tRNA". Rfam says of the family: Transfer RNA (tRNA) molecules are approximately 80 nucleotides in length. Their secondary structure includes four short double-helical elements and three loops (D, anti-codon, and T loops). Lineage: Eukaryota; Metazoa; Chordata; Amphibia; Caudata; Hynobiidae. The record is from RNAcentral.
AAGAAGGUGGCAGAGCGGUUAUGCGGUUAACUUGAAAUUAACCUAUGUGGGUUCGAUUCUCCCCCUUCUUG